CGCGGGGUAGAGCAAUUGGUAGCUCGUCGGGCUCAUAACCCGAAGGUUGCAGGUUCAAGUCCUGCCCCCGCUAC
Molecule: transfer RNA, 74 nt
Filed under: bacterium HR20
Lineage: Bacteria
Also listed under: 1 other name
Description: tRNA-Met
Rfam family: tRNA
About the family: Transfer RNA (tRNA) molecules are approximately 80 nucleotides in length. Their secondary structure includes four short double-helical elements and three loops (D, anti-codon, and T loops).
Source: RNAcentral